RNAcentral lists this ribosomal RNA (253 nucleotides) under uncultured bacterium. RNAcentral's name for it is "partial 16S ribosomal RNA". It matches the Rfam family "Bacterial small subunit ribosomal RNA", at positions 524 to 776 of the family's 1533-position model. The record is from RNAcentral.
UACAGAGGGGGCAAGCGUUGUCCGGAUUUACUGGGCGUACAGCGCGCGCAGGCGGCCGUGUAUGUGACCGGUGACAGUCGCGGGCUCAACCCGCGCCGGCCCGGUUACACAGCACAGCUGGAGGCAGGGAGAGGGAUGUGGAAUACCCGGUGGAGCGGUGAAAUGCGUAGAGAUCGGGUGGAACACCAGCGACGAAGGCGGCAUCCUGGCCCUGUACUGACGCUGAGGCGCGAUAGCGUGGGGAGCAAACGGG